CAUUAAGUUGGGCACUCUAAUGAGACUGCCGGUGACAAACCGGAGGAAGGUGGGGAUGACGUCAAGUCAUCAUGCCCCUUAUGACCUGGGCUACACACGUGCUACAAUGGACGGUACAACGAGAAGCGAACCUGCGAAGGCAAGCGGAUCUCUUAAAGCCGUUCUCAGUUCGGACUGUAGGCUGCAACUCGCCUACACGAAGCUGGAAUCGCUAGUAAUCGCGGAUCAGCACGCCGCGGUGAAUACGUUCCCGGG
Molecule: ribosomal RNA, 255 nt
Filed under: Lactobacillus johnsonii
Lineage: Bacteria; Bacillati; Bacillota; Bacilli; Lactobacillales; Lactobacillaceae
Description: partial 16S ribosomal RNA
Rfam family: Bacterial small subunit ribosomal RNA
Source: RNAcentral